RNAcentral lists this ribosomal RNA (452 nucleotides) under Bragasellus lagari. Its description in RNAcentral is "partial 16S ribosomal RNA". It matches the Rfam family "Bacterial large subunit ribosomal RNA", at positions 1855 to 2597 of the family's 2925-position model. Lineage: Eukaryota; Metazoa; Arthropoda; Malacostraca; Isopoda; Asellidae. The record is from RNAcentral.
AUCUCUGCCCUAUGAAUAAUUAAAUGGCCGCAGUAUUUUGACUGUGCAAAGGUAGCAUAAUCAUUUGUUUUUUAAUUGAAAACUGGAAUGAAAGAGUCGACGAAAAGUAGUCUUUUGAUCGGUAUAGUUAAAUUGACAUAAGAGUAAAAAGGCUCUUAUAAAUCAGAGGGACGAUMAGACCCUAUAAAACUUUACUUUUUAAAUCUUGUUCUUAAGGGUGGAUAAGAGGGAAGGUUAAACUGGGGCGGUGUUUAUAAAAACUGUAAUAAUAUAAAUAUAGAAAAUAAGGUCGAAGAACUUUUUAAAAAAUUGAACAAGUUACUUUAGGGAUAACAGCAUAAUCUUCCUAGAGAGUCCUUAUCGGCAGGAAGGUUUAUGACCUCGAUGUUGAAUUGAAAUUCCUUAUGCGGGCAGGUGCGCGUAAAGGUAGUCUGUUCGACUAUUGAUUUUUC